RNAcentral lists this ribosomal RNA (447 nucleotides) under uncultured bacterium. RNAcentral describes it as "bacterial SSU rRNA". It matches the Rfam family "Bacterial small subunit ribosomal RNA", at positions 355 to 825 of the family's 1533-position model. The record is from RNAcentral.
UGGGGAAUAUUGGACAAUGGGCGAAAGCCUGAUCCAGCCAUGCCGCGUGUGUGAAGAAGGUCUUCGGAUUGUAAAGCUCUUUUACCAGGGAUGAUAAUGACAGUACCUGGAGAAUAAGCUCCGGCUAACUCCGUGCCAGCAGCCGCGGUAAUACGGAGGGAGCUAGCGUUGUUCGGAAUUACUGGGCGUAAAGCGUACGUAGGCGGUGACUCAAGUCAGAGGUGAAAGCCUGGAGCUCAACUCCAGAACUGCCUUUGAAACUAGGUCGCUAGAAUCACGGAGAGGUGAGUGGAAUUCCGAGUGUAGAGGUGAAAUUCGUAGAUAUUCGGAAGAACACCAGUGGCGAAGGCGGCUCACUGGACGUGUAUUGACGCUGAGGUACGAAAGCGUGGGGAGCAAACAGGAUUAGAUACCCCCGUAGUCCCUGAGCGGGCUGGCAAGGCGCAU